CCAGUGGGGCUGCUGUUAUCUGG
This 23-nucleotide microRNA is filed under the name Pteropus alecto (black flying fox). Its description in RNAcentral is "pal-miR-194b-3p". Its record names the gene pal-miR-194b-3p. Lineage: Eukaryota; Metazoa; Chordata; Mammalia; Chiroptera; Pteropodidae. The record is from miRBase by way of RNAcentral.